GAAGAGGUCACACCCGUUCCCAUACCGAACACGGAAGUUAAGCUCUUCAGCGCCGAUGGUAGUUGGGGGUCUCCCCCUGUGAGAGUAGGACGUCGCUGGGC
This 101-nucleotide ribosomal RNA is filed under the name Psychrobacillus psychrodurans. The record is from RNAcentral. Lineage: Bacteria; Bacillati; Bacillota; Bacilli; Caryophanales; Bacillaceae.